UAGGGAAUCUUCCACAAUGGACGGAAAGUCUGAUGGAGCAACGCCGCGUGAGUGAAGAAGGGUUUCGGCUCGUAAAGCUCUGUUGUUAAAGAAGAACGUGGGUAAGAGUAACUGUUUACCCAGUGACGGUAUUUAACCAGAAAGCCACGGCUAACUACGUGCCAG
RNAcentral lists this ribosomal RNA (165 nucleotides) under uncultured bacterium. RNAcentral's name for it is "partial 16S ribosomal RNA". It matches the Rfam family "Bacterial small subunit ribosomal RNA", at positions 355 to 511 of the family's 1533-position model. The record is from RNAcentral.